RNAcentral lists this unclassified non-coding RNA (205 nucleotides) under Hevea brasiliensis (rubber tree). The record is from RNAcentral. Lineage: Eukaryota; Viridiplantae; Streptophyta; Magnoliopsida; Malpighiales; Euphorbiaceae.
GAAGCAGAGCCAUUCAUGGGAUCGGGUCGUUUUGCUCGAGCUUAUUUACUGGGAUAUAACUGUGAUGAUGAGAAAGAACUAGAAGAUGCUUUGCGCUUUUGCUGAUCCCCCACUGCUGAUGAGUAUAGUUAAAAAACUUUGGUUUCCAAUAAUGACAUUCGAGCAGUCUUGUUUCAAUCUUGUACUGUAACUUUAGAUCUCUAAA